Molecule: ribosomal RNA, 468 nt
Filed under: uncultured bacterium
Lineage: Bacteria
Description: partial 16S ribosomal RNA
Rfam family: Bacterial small subunit ribosomal RNA
Source: RNAcentral
GACGAACGCUGGCGGCGUGCUUAACACAUGCAAGUCGAACGGAAAGGCCCUGCUUUUGUGGGGUGCUCGAGUGGCGAACGGGUGAGUAACACGUGAGUAACCUGCCCUUGACUUUGGGAUAACUUCAGGAAACUGGGGCUAAUACCGGAUAGGAGCUCCUGCUGCAUGGUGGGGGUUGGAAAGUUUCGGCGGUUGGGGAUGGACUCGCGGCUUAUCAGCUUGUUGGUGGGGUAGUGGCUUACCAAGGCUUUGACGGGUAGCCGGCCUGGGAGGGUGACCGGCCACAUUGGGACUGAGAUACGGCCCGGACUCAUACGGGGGGCAGCAGUGGGGAAUAUUGCACAAUGGGCGGAAGCCUGAUGCAGCAACGCCGCGUGCGGGAUGACGGCCUUCGGGUUGUAAACCGCUUUCGCCUGUAACGAAGCGUGAGUGACGGUAAUGGGUAAAGAAGCACCGGCUAACUACGUG